UACCUAGCUUUUAUAUUAGAGUUCUUCCAGGAAUUAUUAAAACUAAAAUUAUUAUCUAUGGGAAACAUAAAACUAAAGUCUAGGUAAGAGAAAGGCAUGAUAUAAAGUUUGAGCUACUGUUUAUCUUGUUCCUACUACACUAAGUUCUGGAGAUUUAUUUUGAAAACUUGCAAAUCACAUGAUGAGUUCCUAGCACAACAAACUUCCUACCACAGCCAUACUUGCUAUAACAUCUUUUACUAUAUUUACAUUGAGUUUGAUCGAGCUGUGUAGACCCUUAGGAGCUUUUCAUGUGGUUAAAUUAAGAUAUUCACUUGCACACAUCUACUACAUCCACCGACAUUCAUUAAAAUUGCUAAAAAUAUUAUCACUCACUGUCCCAAGUGUUGUUAUUCUCUCUCUCCAAAAAGAUUCAAUGCAGAAGAGGCAUGGGUUAUGCAAAAAUAUGCGAGGAAAUAAAAAGGGGCAAGUGCCUGGAACCUCGAAGAAAGAAAAAGAGUGAGACGAGAGGUAAAAAUGGACAAGUGUCCGGAGUAGAAUUAGGGGUACAAAGAUGCCCACUUGAGCAAAAAAAAAUGUACAAAGUGUCCGACAUUAGAGUUAGGGGUAUCUACUACCCACCUGAAAAAGAAAAAAGAAGAAGAAAAAGAUAGCCCAUGUUCUCCCAAAGCAAAGCUUAAAGAAGAGGAGAGAUAGCAAUAUGAGGAGCAAUGAGAAGUAAGUUUUAUCAUCACUUAUACACUUUCACCAUUACUAUCAUUUACUCCACCAUUUAAUUACAUGUUGAGUUCCUUUGGAUCCAUGGCUCGAUUAGACAAUAUAUGUAUGAGCUGUUUUUCACUCCUAUGAGCUCCACUUAAAUAUUCCAUUAGUUAUAGGUAAGUGACAUUUUUGGUAAGGAUCCACAAAUACCACAUAUAGAGAGACUUGAGAGAAUCAUUGCUGGGAACUCUGAGUUUUAUUUUUGUAAACUUAUACAAAACACCGGAACAAAGGUGAAGUAUAGACAGGAGGAAUAGUGCUUGACUUAAUUAUUUUGUCUUUCGAUUACUUAAGACUUGAGUGCAGGUACUAAGCUCCAUAACACUUCACUCUAAUCUAGAAGAAUUUUAUAUGAAAGCAUGUG
RNAcentral lists this long non-coding RNA (1126 nucleotides) under Sorghum bicolor (sorghum). RNAcentral's name for it is "long non-coding RNA (SBIC_LNC010920)". Lineage: Eukaryota; Viridiplantae; Streptophyta; Magnoliopsida; Poales; Poaceae. The record is from RNAcentral.